UUUGGAAUCUUGCACAAUGGGGGAAACCCUGAUGCAGCGACGCCGCGUGGGGGAUGAAGGAUCUAGGUCUGUAAACCCCUUUUGUCAGGAAAGACUUAGGACGGUACCUGGCGAAUAAGCACCGGCUAACUACGUGCCAGCAGCCGCGGUAAGACGUAGGGUGCAAGCGUUGUCCGGAUUUACUGGGCGUAAAGAGCGCGUAGGCGGUCCGUUAAGUGUGAAGUGAAAUCUCCAGGGCUCAACCCGGAAACUGCUUCGCAUACUGGCGGACUCGAGGGAUGCAGAGGUAAGUAGAAUUCCUGGUGUAGCGGUGACAUGCAUAGAUAUCAGGAGGAAUACCCACGGCGAAGGCAGCUUACUGGGCAUCAUCUGACGCUGAGGCGCGAAAGCGUGGGGAGCAAACAGGAUUAGAUACCCCCGUAGUCC
RNAcentral lists this ribosomal RNA (426 nucleotides) under uncultured bacterium. Its description in RNAcentral is "bacterial SSU rRNA". It matches the Rfam family "Bacterial small subunit ribosomal RNA", at positions 355 to 796 of the family's 1533-position model. The record is from RNAcentral.